GGAGAACACUGUACAACCGAUAACUAGUUUGUCCCAAAAAAAAAAGACAAAAAAGUAAAUGAGGUGAUUGGAUAAACAAACUAAAGACUAAUUUAUCAUCCUUCUGCUCUGAGUGAGCUUUACAAGUAUAAAUUCAGAAUAAUGAAAGGGCAAAAAAUUAAAGCUAUAAUUGUUAUUAGAGAAAUAAUAAAAAAAAGGACCCCAAAAACUAACAGAAGAACAGCACUACAGAAGAUAGGAAUAGGCUCGCCUAAACCUAUUAUUGGAAUAUGCUUUCCACACUGCAAAACAAGGAACUACACUCAAACAAGUAAAGGUUAAACAGAAAGGCAUGAACGGAAAUCCAAUCCAUAAGCCAGCCUAGGUUGCCAAUUGAAUUCACAGUCCCUAUCACAGAUCAAAGGAUGAAAUUUCAGAACAUUUAGUAAAGUAUCCACGAUGCAACCAAUCAGCAGCUUCACUCAGUACAUUCAACAAUCAACCGCCCAAAUAUCCCUCCACUUUAACCAGAAACAAAACCCACCUAACGCCAUCCAUCAAAAACCUCAAACAAUAAAAAAAUCACUACAAAUGGCAAAACAAAUAAAAAAAAAACCGCAACCGAGAGAACAAAAAAUGAAACCGCAAUAAACUCGUCCAAGGUGCACUAAAAAGCAAUCUGGAUUUUCUAGAAAGGCAAAAGAUAAAGAUAGCAGCUUGAUACCCGAUACUAGUUUCAAUUGCUUCAAUGGAGUGAAUGCCAUGCUUCGGAGCAGCGCAGGUGACAAUUUUGAAAAAGCCGUUGGAAUUCCAUCGAUGGGUUGGAGGGGGGAAAAGGGAAAAGGGUUUUGAGGAAUCCGAAGGAGGAAGAAGAAGAAGAGUCAGUGAAGCAGAGGCUGAAACAACCGUAAUUAUGUUUUUAUCUA
Molecule: long non-coding RNA, 905 nt
Filed under: Coffea arabica (coffee)
Lineage: Eukaryota; Viridiplantae; Streptophyta; Magnoliopsida; Gentianales; Rubiaceae
Description: long non-coding RNA (CARA_LNC005766)
Source: RNAcentral